This 135-nucleotide long non-coding RNA is filed under the name Numida meleagris (helmeted guineafowl). Its description in RNAcentral is "lncRNA (ENSNMEG00000013332.1)". The record is from RNAcentral. Lineage: Eukaryota; Metazoa; Chordata; Aves; Galliformes; Numididae.
CCACAGUAUCUACAGCACAAAUGGUAUCACAGAUGCUUGAUGAUCUAUAUGCUUGAGGGCACUCCUGUGUGCUGUCUCACCAGGGCACAAUCCUUUGGUGGGAACCACAUCCUCAAAUGGUCACCGAAGAGAUAC